RNAcentral lists this ribosomal RNA (469 nucleotides) under uncultured bacterium. RNAcentral's name for it is "partial 16S ribosomal RNA". It matches the Rfam family "Bacterial small subunit ribosomal RNA", at positions 28 to 507 of the family's 1533-position model. The record is from RNAcentral.
GACGAACGCUGGCGGCGUGCUUAACACAUGCAAGUCGAACGAUGAAGCCUUAGCUUGCUUUGGUGGAUUAGUGGCGAACGGGUGAGUAACACGUGAGCAACGUGCCCAGGACUCUGGAAUAACCGCGGGAAACCGUGGCUAAUACCGGAUAGGUGCAGAGGCCGCAUGGUCUUCGGUUGGAAAGUUUUUGCGGUUCUGGAUCGGCUCACGGCCUAUCAGCUUGUUGGUGGGGUAAUGGCCUACCAAGGCGACGACGGGUAGCCGGCCUGAGAGGGUGACCGGCCACACUGGGACUGAGACACGGCCAAGACUCCUACGGGAGGCAGCAGUGGGGAAUAUUGCACAAUGGGCGCAAGCCUGAUGCAGCAACGCCGCGUGGUGGAUGACGGCCGUCGGGUUGUAACCCUCUUUUAGUAGGGAAGAAGCGCAAGUGACGGUACCUGCAGAAAAAGCACCGGCUAACUACGUG